This 448-nucleotide ribosomal RNA is filed under the name uncultured organism. RNAcentral describes it as "partial 16S ribosomal RNA". It matches the Rfam family "Bacterial small subunit ribosomal RNA", at positions 333 to 797 of the family's 1533-position model. The record is from RNAcentral.
ACACUCCUGCGGGAGGCAGCAGUGGGGAAUAUUGGACAAUGGGCGCAAGCCUGAUCCAGCCAUGCCGCGUGAGUGAUGAAGGCCCUAGGGUUGUAAAGCUCUUUCACCGGUGAAGAUAAUGAUUGUAACCGGGGAAGAAGCCCCGGCUAACUUCGUGCCAGCAGCCGCGGUAAUACGAAGGGGGCUAGCGUUUUUCGGUUUUACUGGGCGUAAAGCGCACGUAGGCGGACUAUUAAGUCAGGGGUGAAAUCCCGGGGCUCAACCCCGGAACUGCCUUUGAUACUGGUAGUCUUGAGUUCGAGAGAGGUGAGUGGAAGUCCGAGUGUAGAGGUGAAAUUCGUAGAUAUUCGGAGGAACACCAGUGGCGAAGGCGGCUCACUGGCUCGAUACUGACGCUGAGGUGCGAAAGCGUGGGGAGCAAACAGGAUUAGAUACCCCGGUAGUCCCA